GUCUUGUUGUACAUGGAAUCUGUCUCACAUGCAUGAAUUUAAAAAAAAAACUUACGAUGUCAGCUGCUAAUUUUCAGAUUUACAGCCAUUUUCACUGGACUAUCUGUUGCUGCUAAGUCAUGGGUUAGCCUUGCAAUAACCAAGUGGUUAUAUCAGCUGUUUUGUUGAACCUCUCCCGCAUCUGAACUGGCUGACAGAGGGCACAGCCUGAUCAUAGGUAUGUUUUGAUGUGAGAGGAAUCCAGUCCCGACAGCGCAAUUGUGAUGAACUGAGAGAAUAUUAGGGUAGCACUGUCAUUCAUGAAUCAUAUGCUAUCUGCCGCUGUUCUUACCUCUUUACCCACCUCAUCUUCUAAUGCACACCAUAUGUGCAUUGAAGUACAGAUUUGCCUACCUUCUUUUUUUAACUAGGCAAGUCAGAUAAGAAUGACGGCCUAAGAACUGCCUUGUUCAGGGACAGAAGGACAGACCUUGUCGGCUCGGGGAUUCGAUCUUGCAACCUUCCGGUUACUAGUCCACCUACCCGCCCAAGAUUGAACUUGUAUUUAUAAUAUUACAAUUAAAAUGCACUUCUUUCAAUAAAGCGUUUCACAUUC
Salvelinus fontinalis (brook trout) is the source of this 595-nucleotide long non-coding RNA. RefSeq lists it as uncharacterized. Lineage: Eukaryota; Metazoa; Chordata; Actinopteri; Salmoniformes; Salmonidae. The record is from RefSeq and is a predicted model, not a curated record. The transcript has 3 exons.